This 1046-nucleotide ribosomal RNA is filed under the name uncultured bacterium. RNAcentral describes it as "bacterial SSU rRNA". It matches the Rfam family "Bacterial small subunit ribosomal RNA", at positions 12 to 1056 of the family's 1533-position model. The record is from RNAcentral.
UUUGAUCCUGGCUCAGGAUGAACGCUAUCGGCAGGCUUAACACAUGCAAGUCGAGGGGCAGCAUGUCCAGCAAUGGAUGAUGGCGGCCGGCGGAAGGGUGCGUAACGCGUGAGCAACAUGCCCUAUACAGGGAGAUACACCAGGGAAACUUGGUCUAAUAUCCCAUAGCAUUCAUUGAAGGCAUCUUUAAUGAAUUAAAGCUUCGGUGGUAUAGGAUUGGCUCGCGUGACAUUAGCCAGAUGGUGAGGUAACGGCUCACCAUAGCAAUGAUGUCUAGGGGUUUUGAGAGGAAGGCCCCCCACACUGGGACUGAGACACGGCCCAGACUCCUACGGGAGGCAGCAGUGAGGAAUAUUGGACAAUGGAUGGAAAUCUGAUCCAGCCAUGCCGCGUGCAGGAAGACGGCCUUAUGGGUUGUAAACUGCUUUUAUACGGGAGCAAUAAGGGUUACGAGUAAUCCGAUGAGAGUACUGUAUGAAUAAGGAUCGGCUAACUCCGUGCCAGCAGCCGCGGUAAUACGGAGGAUCCGAGCGUUAUCCGGAAUUAUUGGGUUUAAAGGGUGCGUAGGCGGCCAUUUAAGUCAGCGGUGAAAUUUUGCAGCUUAACUGUAACAGUGCCGUUGAUACUGUUUGGCUAGGAUUUGGUUGUAGUGUGCGGAAUGUGUGGUGUAGCGGUGAAAUGCUUAGAUAUCACACAGAACACCGAUUGCGAAGGCAGCACACUAAGUCAUUAUUGACGCUGAGGCACGAAAGUGUGGGGAUCAAACAGGAUUAGAUACCCUGGUAGUCCACACUGUAAACGAUGAUAACUCGCUGUCCGCGAUACACAGUCGGUGGCCAAGCGAAAGCAUAAGUUAUCCACCUGGGGAGUACGACCGCAAGGUUGAACUUCAAAGGAAAUUGACGGGGGGCCCCCACAAGCGGAGGAACAUGUGGUUUAAUUCGAUGAUACGCGAGGAACCUUACCCGGGCUCGAACGGUGCAUGAAUAAACAAAAAAUUGAUAGUCCUUUCGGGCUUGUAUUAAGGGGCUUGCUUGGUUUUCCUC